AUUACACAUGAUCAGACAUGAUUGUAUUCUCCAUAACAUUUAACUUGAUCUCAUUUUUCAGUUUACAGUGGGAACAUAUAAUAACUUAUAAUAACUUCAACAAUAACAAUGGAUUUUCAGAAGCUGGAUGACACUUUUUUGCCCCCCUCUUUACAGAGUUAUCACAAAGGCAAGUAAAUCUAACAUGACGCCAAGGUGUUGCCUGAACUGUGUACGAUAUGAUGACUCACAAUGAGAGGUGACAUAGCAGGUAAGAAUUUACAUCUUCUGGUGCCAAAAACAUACAGUAUGAGCCAGAUACAGUGCAAGUUAUAGACAGGAUUAAAGCACACCCACGCUCACACCAACUCCAAUAUAGAUUAUGAUAGAAAAAAAAAUAAAAGAAAUUACAAACAAGCAAAUGCUCCUCAUAUACUUUGACAUCCAACUGUGAAACCCAUACCACAAAUACCACUGAGUAUCUAAUCGGUUCUCUUGAAACCACGUGAACUCGACAAUUACAACAUCAGACUGACAGCUAAAACUUGCGCAUGGGCUUCUUUCAUACUAUUGCACAUAUAGAGGUGAUAUAGCUAAAAAGCACGACGGACCCGUGUGACAGAUUAAACAGAAAAAAAGCAAAAACUAAAACACGAAAAACCACUAACUCACUAAUACACAAAGUACAAUGCAGAUGUAUAGUGCAAAUUUACAUUGUGCUACUUCCAGCUUCUCAAUAAAUCACAAGAUCACGGCAAUUAUUUUCCAUUUGACUUAAAGCUCCAUGAUAACUUUAACAUAUAAAUGAUAGAAAUCUAGAAGCACGAGACCCUACACAAACACAACUCUUGCUCACAUGCACCGAGCUGUCAUUACGAGCCUUACGCAAAACAUAAUUUGAAGGGUGAUUUGUGUUUGACGUCAUCCUCAAACACAUUUCAGCCCGUGCAAUUACCUGUCUCAAGAUGGAGAAGAGAGAGAGAGAAGGUGAGGGAGGACAGAGGAAAGGGGGAGGAAGGAAGGUCGAUCGGUCGGUCCCUCUUUCAGUCGAUCCUCGGUGCAUACAUCCAAAUCGUAGGUCACCUUUUCUCACCGGC
Molecule: long non-coding RNA, 1076 nt
Organism: Astatotilapia calliptera (eastern happy)
Lineage: Eukaryota; Metazoa; Chordata; Actinopteri; Cichliformes; Cichlidae
Source: Ensembl